AUGUGAAAAUGGUCAAAUAUAAAAAUGGAUUGCAAGUAAAAAUGCAGGCAAGGCUACUCUAGCCUAUGUAAUUUUCUUUGUAUAAGUGCAUGCUACAUGCUAGGGUAACGUCAAUGGUAGGCCUACCAAUUAUCGUCCCCCAAAUAAUGACAUUUCCUUCGUGCAAUGAGAGGUAGCCAGUGGUUUGAAGACCAUUAAUCGAUGAUUGAUACCUGAUAAAGCCUUUUUUUUAUUUCAACUGUGUGUUUAUUUGAUUGACGUUUUUGUGGAAGAGUUGUUCAGAUUAGAUUCGGUGACCCAAUGUCCACAAUUUCAACAACAAGGACCGUGAAUCUAUCAAGAGCAAAAUGAAGCAGCUGGAGUCAAGUGAUUUGGAGCAGGCGCCCAAAAUCGCGCGCUUUUUAAUUUUUUUGAGGAGGACAUUACCGUCAUGGGCCAGGACAAGCAGGCGAACCAGUGGAGUCGGAAAUAUGGCCUGCACCGUGGAGUGGAUUGGUACAGAAGGAAAUGCUAAUCAGAUGUGACCCUGGAGUGUUGGAACAGACGUCAGAGUGCUGUGGGGACUGGGAGCCGCAGGACGAACACUUCAAGUGGCUCCUGUAGA
Long non-coding RNA from Anguilla anguilla (European eel), 604 nucleotides. RefSeq lists it as uncharacterized. NCBI's taxonomy places the organism in Eukaryota, Metazoa, Chordata, Actinopteri, Anguilliformes, Anguillidae. The record is from RefSeq and is a predicted model, not a curated record. The transcript has 3 exons.